GCUGGUGGGCUCGGCCUGGGCGGGACCGAACUGGACGUUUCUGUGCGCUCCUGGGUCCACAGCUGUAUUGGGGAGGCCGUGAACGGGCCACGAGAAAUGAGCCAACACCGUUCCAGAGAGCAGCAGGAGCUGAGAAGGAAAAUAAAAAAGGGUAAUGGACCAAAGCGUGGAAACCGGGGAGAUGGACAGUACCGGAGGGCGCCUUUAAGAAGACGAUCUUUGAGCUGAGACCUGGACCAUGGCUGGGAGACGGGCCCGGGAAGAUGCGCAGGAACGGCGUGCCAGAAGGAACACCAAGGGCAAAGGCUCUCCCUCAGGGCUUGACGGAGCCAGAGGGAGGGUGAGAGAGGGGAGUUGAUUGAUGCAGGUAAUAAGUCUUGAUCCGCAGUCAAAAACACUGAAUUGGGGAACAGGUCCCACAGGGAAAUGGAGCCAGAAUUCCAGCCCAGUUCUGUGUGACCCACAGUCCCAUGGUCUUCCUACUACACCGCCUCUCAACACGCAACCUCUGGACCCCCUGUGAAUGUAUCUUUUGGAUACAGCAGAAGUCAAGAGCUCUUUGGAAAAGGCUGCCCAGCAGCGUUAUUUAUGAGACGGAAAGAUUGGACAGCACCGCAGCCCAACUACAGAAGAGCUGAGCAAAUCAUUGCUCACUUCACAAGGAAUCUCUUGUAGUAGUUGAAAAUGCUAAUGAUGAAGAUGGAAACAUGGGGAAAGGCCAAUGAUAAUGCAUUAAGUACAAAAAAAA
Molecule: long non-coding RNA, 748 nt
Organism: Lontra canadensis (Northern American river otter)
Lineage: Eukaryota; Metazoa; Chordata; Mammalia; Carnivora; Mustelidae
Exons: 2
Source: RefSeq, a predicted model, not a curated record